UNCAGCAGGAUCAGAAGCUGAUGGCGUGU
This 29-nucleotide non-coding RNA is filed under the name Mus musculus (house mouse). The record is from RNAcentral. Lineage: Eukaryota; Metazoa; Chordata; Mammalia; Rodentia; Muridae.